This 2254-nucleotide long non-coding RNA is filed under the name Homo sapiens (human). RNAcentral's name for it is "HSALNT0357452". The record is from RNAcentral. Lineage: Eukaryota; Metazoa; Chordata; Mammalia; Primates; Hominidae.
UUUCACCCUGCUCCAGGCAGCGUGGUCUGUAUGGCUCCGCCCUGGGCAGGAGGAGAAAGAAGAGGGCCAGGCACCACGUGCCUGCACUCUCCCUGGAUGCUGGAGGCUGCUCCGCCGUGGGCAGGAGGAGAAGGAAGAGAACUGGGUGCCGCCUGCCUGCACUCUCUCCGGAUGCUGGAGGCUGGAGGCAGUGAGGCAGCAACAGCGCGAGGGCGAGGCGACUUUGGAGCUGCCUCAUGCAGCGACCUCGCCUUCCGCUGCGCCUCCUCCCAGAACCCAAGAAGCCUGGAACCUGUGGCGUCCAGCCCUGAAAGGAGGAGACGGCAACCCAGCCGCGCUUUUGCCUGCACUCUCCCUGGAUGCUGGAGGCUGGAGGCAGUGACGCAGCAACAGCGCGAGGCGACUUUGGAGCGGCCUCAUAUAGCGACCUCGCCUUCCGCUGCGCGUCCUCCCAGAGCCCAAGAAGCCCGGAACCUGUGGCAUCCAUCUCUGAAAGGAGAAGACGGCAACCCAGCCGAGGCACUACUGGGUUGGGGUCUCCACGACCGAGCUGGUCUCAUCAAGUGGCGUCCAACAAGGGGCUCAAACCCGGGUUGAGGGGUUGCUGGAGCGACGGAGAACGUGGAACUACACUGGAGGACACCAGAGUACUCUUAAGCAAUCCCUUGGCCAAAACCAGCAACUGAUUUGGAUACCAUCAAGACACCUGAAAUCUUGUCAUGAGCCAGAUACUGAGGAAGAGAUUUUGGGAAGAACCCAAGGACCCCCCAGUUGCAGCCAUGUCAAGACUGACAAUAAGGAAGACAUCAGUCCCAGCAAGCAACAUUCAUCGGGCACAGCCACCCAUGUGGGGCCAGAUCAAGAAGUUGACACAGAUGGCGGAAGAAAAUCUGAAGAAAGCGGAUGACCAGCUACAAUGAGUAAUCUAAUGUCUGCAGAUGUGGAUCCCGAAUCCUGCGAGAAGUAGCCCACCAUGACGAAGCUGCCUUUGCUUUUAUCGCUUUGCAAAAACAGAAAAGGGGACAUGCUGGGAACAGGCCCUAAGCCUGUCAUAAACAGGCCUUAAACUGACCAUGAACAGGAUUUCUGCACGAAUGUGACGUGCUCCUGAUGGCUAUGACGCCCACUGCUAGAAGUUGUUAGUUUACUGGAGCAGGGUAGGGAACACCUGGCCCACCCGGAGCGGAAAACUGCUCAAACCACAAACAACAGCAUGAGUGGCCUGAGCCUUAACAACAUGUUUUUGCUGCAGAUAAUCGGCCAGAGACUGUUUCUCUACUCCUCUCUAAGUAUGCUUUGUUUUUCGUAAGGAAUGCUUUUAGCUAAUCUGUAACCUAUAGAAACAAUGCUUAUCACUGGCUUGCUGUCAAUAAACAUGUGGGUCAAACUCUGUUUGUGGCUCUCAGCUCUCAAGGCUGUUUUCCCCCUGAUUCCCACUUUGCACUUUAUUUCUGUGUGUUUGUCUUCAUUCCUCUAGCACCACUGGGUUGGGGUCUCCUUGACCAAGCUGGUCUCGGCACAUAUGCAUGUAUGCCCAGGUCCUGAAAUCAGCCUUGUGGAGCCUGUGGGUAGGAAAAGUCAACCCUCUGUGCAUGUAGGCCUGGAACCUGACCAAUACUGUAUUUUCCUACCACGUUUGGUUUCAAAUGUGGAAACUGCCCAUACGGACCUACUGCAUUUGUUUUUAAAAAUCCUCUGUAAGUGGACCUGCACAGUUCAGGCCCAGAUUGUUCCAGGAUCAACCCUACAGUAGAAAUCAAGUAUCUUUUUCAUUGUCUCUUGGGAUCUGCCUUUUCACCAAUAAAAUAUGAGGGCUGUUGGGAGCAGGCCCCCCCAAAUCUGGCCAUAAACUGUCCCCAAAACUGGCCAUAAACAAAAUCUCUGCAGCACUAUAACAUGUUCAUAAUGGCCAUAACGCCCAAGUUGGAAGGUUGUGGAUUUACAGGAAUGAGGGCAAGGAACACCUGGCCUGCCCAGGGUGGAAAACCACUUAAAGGCAUUCUUAAGCCACAAACAAUAGCAUGAGUGAUCUGUGCCUUAAGAACAUGCUCCUGCUGCAGUUAACUAGCCCAACAUAUUCCUUUAAUUCAGUCCAUCCCUUCGUUUCCCAUAAGGGAUACUUUUAGUUAAUUUAAUAUCUAUAGAAAGAAUGCUAAUGACUGGUUUGCUGUUAAUAAAUACGUGGGUAAAUCUCUGUUUGGGGCUCUCAACUCUGAAGGCUGUGAGACCCCUGAUUUCCCACUUGACACCUCUA